AAAUUGAAGAGUUUGAUCAUGGCUCAGAUUGAACGCUGGCGGCAGGCCUAACACAUGCAAGUCGAGCGGCAGCGGAAAGUAGCUUGCUACUUUGCCGGCGAGCGGCGGACGGGUGAGUAAUGUCUGGGGAUCUGCCUGAUGGAGGGGGAUAACUACUGGAAACGGUAGCUAAUACCGCAUGACCUCGAAAGAGCAAAGUGGGGGACCUUCGGGCCUCACGCCAUCGGAUGAACCCAGAUGGGAUUAGCUAGUAGGUGGGGUAAUGGCUCACCUAGGCGACGAUCCCUAGCUGGUCUGAGAGGAUGACCAGCCACACUGGAACUGAGACACGGUCC
This 335-nucleotide ribosomal RNA is filed under the name Yersinia massiliensis. RNAcentral describes it as "bacterial SSU rRNA". It matches the Rfam family "Bacterial small subunit ribosomal RNA", at positions 1 to 332 of the family's 1533-position model. Lineage: Bacteria; Pseudomonadati; Pseudomonadota; Gammaproteobacteria; Enterobacterales; Yersiniaceae. The record is from RNAcentral.